RNAcentral lists this transfer RNA (77 nucleotides) under Candidatus Heimdallarchaeum aukensis. RNAcentral's name for it is "tRNA-Lys". It matches the Rfam family "tRNA". From Rfam's summary of the family: Transfer RNA (tRNA) molecules are approximately 80 nucleotides in length. Their secondary structure includes four short double-helical elements and three loops (D, anti-codon, and T loops). Further hydrogen bonds mediate the characteristic L-shaped molecular structure. tRNAs have two regions of fundamental functional importance: the anti-codon, which is responsible for specific mRNA codon recognition, and the 3' end, to which the tRNAs corresponding amino acid is attached (by aminoacyl-tRNA synthetases). tRNAs cope with the degeneracy of the genetic code in two manners: having more than one tRNA (with a specific anti-codon) for a particular amino acid; and 'wobble' base-pairing, i.e. permitting non-standard base-pairing at the 3rd anti-codon position. Lineage: Archaea; Promethearchaeati; Candidatus Heimdallarchaeota; Candidatus Heimdallarchaeia (ex Rinke et al. 2021) (nom. nud.); Candidatus Heimdallarchaeales; Candidatus Heimdallarchaeaceae. RNAcentral also lists the same sequence under 1 other name. The record is from RNAcentral.
GGGCUUGUAGCUCAGCUAGGUAGAGCAGCAGGCUUUUAACCUGUCGGCCAUGGGUUCGAAUCCCAUCAAGCCCGCCA